This 9487-nucleotide long non-coding RNA is filed under the name Homo sapiens (human). Its description in RNAcentral is "HSALNT0216145". Lineage: Eukaryota; Metazoa; Chordata; Mammalia; Primates; Hominidae. The record is from RNAcentral.
GUGCCCUGGGCAUACUUUUAUUUUUGUGCUUAUCACACUGACCUGUGAUAGCCUCCUGGUCAGCCUCAACUCCCCUUUAUCCCCUACGUGUCCUGAGAGCUCAGAUGGACGGCAUUUGCCCACUUCAGUAUUUCCCAGCACAGUCAAUAAAGGAGCACAUGAGAUGCUUCCCAACCUGUGUGAAUACCCUUCCUGACACAGCAGAGAACAGUCCUUCAUAAAUCCUGUGUCUUUGGAGGGACGUUUUCUGGCACACUGCGGCAGCUGUGGCUUGCAAUGUCUAAGUUACCAGGAUGUCGGUGGGGAGGGCCCUGACCAGGGCGGAGUAGGGGGACCUGCAGCGUCUGGGAGCAUGAAGCCUUGCUGCUGGAGUCUCCAGGCUCGCCAGGCAGGGCUGGGGGUGGCGCUGGGAGGAGCCCAGACAGAUAGGCCCUGAGCUUUGAAGAAAAAUCAAUAUUCAGCAGGGAGUUGAUUGUGUCAUAAACGUCUCGAGUUGCACUGCCACUUCCUGGCCCCUGAGUGGCCCAAGGUGAGCUCUGCUGAGGAGAGAGCUGCCCUGCCUACCCCUCCCCUGCACUGCCUGUCUGAGGUCACAGAAGGAGCAGGAGAAAGGCAGCAGGCAUCUUAGGUGGUAAAGCCACUCAGUGAGCCACAGCAGCGAGGCGAGGAUGGUGGCUCCCUCUUUCUUUCGGAGGUGCAUACAUUCAACAAAUAACUACUCAAUGCCCACCAUGCCCAGUCCUGGGGCCAGGCUCUGGUGAUGCGGCCAGGAGCCCGGCAGACAGUGUGCUGCCUGCAUGGAGUCUACAGUCCUGUGUGGAGAUCAAUGUUGAACGGGGAAAUGAAACAGAAAACUGGCCAAGUAGAGGCUGAUAAGCGUCAUCCAGCAAAGCAAUGAACAGGCAGGUGGAGGCUCGGGAGGGCUGGGCAGGGCUGCUGCAGAUGGGCAGGGCUCUGGGCACUCGGCUGGGCAGGAGCCUGGGCAGUGGGGGGACUGGCUCCCAACACAGCCACUCCCCAACCACUCUUGGCUUCUCUGCUUCCUUCCUUCUCUCCCUGCCUCCUUCCCACACCUAUGCCCAGGUGCUCCUGUAGCUCUGGCUUGCGUAGGGACACUGCCAAGUGGCCCAUCCCCUUCAUUUCGUAGUCCAGAUGCUCUGACAGUGACCCCAGGUGACCGCCCAUGCAUCGCCUGUCCUGGUGGGGGCCAUCCUGUGCCAUCAUUGGGGGGGGGGUGCAGUGUGCAUGACACGGCACAGCAUGGCUCAUAGCUGCCCAGCACCAGGGGCUGAGGGGGUGAUGGGCAUAGCAGUGAGCAUUCCAUCUGGGAUUGAGUCCUGCUUGCCUCUGUCAGGGGAUGUCCUUAGGCAAGUCCCUUAACAUGCAUGUGCCUCAGUUUUGUCACCUGUAGCCCAGUGCCUCAUGGUGCCAAGGAGGUCACAAGCAUGAAGCCCCUGGCAGGGUGUGCCGGGCACGUGUGCACAUGCCCCCUGGAGGGGAUUCAUCAUCGCGGGCGGAGCUCUGCAGUUCCAGCCUCCUGAGGGUCCUGAUGCCUCACGAGGCCAAGAGGCAAAGGGUUUUGUAACUUACAUAACCGCAGAGAAAGGCAAGGUUGCUGCUCACAAUGAUGCUUUCACAGGGCGGCUCUGGGACGGCAUCCUCACCCGACUAUAUGGAAUUCCACAUCCUUUCCGAAUCUUGGUGUUACACAAUAGUCACUGAGAUAUCAUGUACCCCAUUAACGUUGAGACUUUUAUGUAUUUACAAUUCAGCUUAAAUUUUUACCCAGAGAAGUUUUCAAAAUGUAACAUGUGUUAGUCACUGUGUGAAUUGCGAAACCAAGGAAAUAUCUCCAAAGUGCUGGCCUUGACAAUGUAAUCUGGCAAGGCUUGGGGAGGAAUAAAAAUAACACUUCUCAGCAUCGCCGUCUCUGAGGGCAGGAGUGAUCUGGAGCCCUCCCCAAGCCCACAGGUGCAUAGAUGACUUACUUUCAGAAAAUGUCAACAGGGUGCUCUGCAGAGGGGCAUGGGCUUUUAUGCCUUUAUUAUGCUUUUCUGUAUUAAAAGAAAAAUACAGUCAUGUGAUUUUAGAAACUCAACCCAUGGAAGAGAGAAUACUGGGUCUGUAGGAAAUCUGCAAAGUGGGAAAGAUACUUCUGGGCUUGGUGGUGGCACCUUGGAGCCUGCUUACGGAAAUCACCUCUCGUUCCCGUGAUGCUGAAAGCAGAAUGCUGGACAUGGAAGAACCGCGGUACUCGAGCUUCGUCUGCUGCCCCACACCCCACUGGCUGUUGCAAGAGUGACGUUGCCAUUGGUGACUGCAGGUCUCCCAGCAGCCUGGUGCAGAGAGGCCACUUCAGGCUCGAACAGAGGCCCGGGUUUCCACGGGAGACAGCAGAGCCACGGUGUAGCAGGCAUCCAGCUCUCCCCCGAUCAGUUCCGUGACUUGUCGGAAGGCCCUCCCUCCCGGUAGGCCUCGGUUUCCUCAUCUGUGAAACAAUGGGAGUGACCUGGAGGGCCUCUGCCAGUCUCACUCAGUCUAAGCCCUUGAGACGGAGGCAGACACGGUCAGCCUGUAAGCCCCUGGCCUUGCUCUUGCUUCAGGUCAGACGAAGAAAGGACUGGUGGCCUCUGGGGAUCCUGAGCCUGUCUCCAUGGGAACCAGCUCACCCACCCCCUCUCUGGCAAGUGUCCUAGUGGGAGCCAUGGGAAACCAUGGGCUCCAGCCCCUGGCCGCUGACUGGUUGGCGGCCUUCCGUUUUGAGAUCCCUGGCCCAGGGUAAUGGAGGGGACCUCAUCUUACAGAAGACACAGCGAGGGUGUGGAGAGGCUGUGGGGGAAGCACAGCCUGGCCGGCAGCUGCUGGGUGUCCUGGCUUGAGCUCAGGGCACCUUUGUCCCAGGGUGGGACCCUCAGGUCUCAGGGGCUGCUCCAUCCCCGUUGAGGGCUCCCUUCAUUCUUGAUGUCUGUCCACUCACAGAGGGGGCGUCAUGCCUCUCCAAAGACCCCCACAUUCCAGUCCUUGUGUCCCUGAGGUCGGCCUCCUGGCGGCCACCUCACAGGGAAGGCCCUGGACACAGGGCCCUGGCCUAAUGCAGCAUGGCUUCAUCUUAACUAGUUACGUGUGCAAAGACCCUGUCUCCAAACAAGGUCAUAUUUUGGGCUUCUGAGUGGAAGUUGGUUUGGGGGACACUCAUCAACCCAGCACAAUGCUCCCCCUCACCAUGUUCGUUGAAGAGAAGACUCUUGGACACCUGGAGGCCACCAGUCCUUUCUGGAUCCCCAGAGGCCACCAGUACUUUCUUCCUCUGACCUGAAACAAGAGCUAGCAGGGGCUGGCAGGCCGACUGCGUCUGCUGCCAUUUUGAGUACUGGCCCCAGCCGCAAUGCCCAGGACUGAGUCAUGGAGAUUCCCUCAGAAAUGGUGCAACCCAGUCUGUCCACAGAGUGAGGGGCGACAAGCCUGGUGGCCCCGGCUUCAGUGCAGGCCAUCCUUUCCACCUAUUGUCUCCUUUUGGUCUCAUGGGGACCCGGUUCUUGUCCUCUGCCCUGUAGCAUGGCUACGACCCUCAUGGGCCACAAACUUGAUGCCCUCAGGCGGCUAGACUCUACCCCAGAUCCGGGGCUGGCAGCGGCAUGGAUGUGGUCAACUGGCAUGCAGUUGUUACCCAGACACCCUCCCAUCAGCACUUUUUUAGGGGGUGAGUGACAGAAACUCAACUUGGGCUUAAAGGUGAAUUUACUGGUUCCUGUGAUGACAGAGUUCAAGGUUCAGCUGGACCUGGUGCCUCCAAUGACGUCACCAAGUCUGUCUGUCCAUCUGUCUGAGUUCAGCUUCCUCCAGGUCUUCGUUCUCCAGCAGGCCUUCUCCUCAAAGUGGCCAGGUGACUGUCAGCUCUAUGGUUCAUUCUACCAGUUUAUGAAUCUCCCCUCCUCAUGUUGCUCAAAUUCAGCUGUGAGUAAACUCCCAAGCUGAUUGCAGCGUCCAAAGGGAGGGCACUGGUCCCAUGUGCAGCCGGCAACUCUAUGGGUUCAGCUCCACCCAAACUAUAUAGACCACAGCAGGGAAGGAAAGCCAGGGAUGCUAGGAUGGCCAGCACCACUGCAGAAGCCUAUUGAUCCCGUGCAAAAUAGCUCCAGUAAAAGGAGGGCUUUGGGGCCCGGUGUGUUGGCACACACCUGUAAUCCCAGCACUUUGGGAGGCCAAGGCAUGUGGAUCACUUGAGGUCAAAAGUUCUUGACCAGCCUGAUUAACAUGGUGAAACUCCGUCUCUAUUAAAUACAAAAAAAUUAGCCAGGAGUGGUGGUGCAUGACUGUUAUCUGAGCUACUUGGGAGGCUGAGACAGGGGAAUUGCUUGUACCCGGAGGCGGAGGUUGCAGUGAGCUGAGAUCACACCAUUGUACUCCAGCAUGGGCAACAAGAGCAAAACUCUGUCUCAAAAAAAAAAAAAAAAAGGAGAGCUUUGGUCUACAGAAAGUCAGGCACCAUCACAGCAUCAUAGGGACAGGGAUACAGGAUGCAGGUCCCCGUUACAUCCAGGGCUCCAUCCCUCUUCUCUCCAUCCUCCCCAUAGGCUUUUCCUACAGGCCUUUGGUUUUCCCCGGAUGUUGGCUUGCCCCUAUACCAGCACUGCCAUGGAUGUUGGCUUGCCCCUAUACCAGCACUGCCACGGAUGUUGGCUUGCCCCUAUACCAGCACUGCUCUGGAUGUAGGCUUGUCCCUACAAGAUCACUGGCCCGACUUGUCACUCCAGGGACAAUGUGUCCACCCUUGGCCUAGCUAGUCAGAAACUUUUGUCUUCGUGUCAUCGUGUCCAAUCAAGAUGUCCAAGAUCCUUCUCUCUUUAGAGAGCAUGGGGAGGAGGGGCAUUGUGCUGGGUUGAUGACUGUCCCCCAAAUCCACUUCCACUCAGAAGCUCAAAAUAUGACCUUAUUUGGAGACAGGGUCUUUGCAGAUGUAAUUAGUUAAGAUGAAGUCACGCUGCAUUAGGGUGGGCCCUAGACCCAAGGCCUAGACCCAAGGACUGGCGAUCUUAUAAAAAGAGGAGUGGACACAGAGACAGAUGCAGAGGGAGGGCAGCCACGGAAAGACAAAGGCAGAGAGUGGAUGAUGCAGCCGCAAGCCAUCGGAUGUCCAGGGCCACCAGGAGCUGAGGAGGUGAGGAAGGGCACCCCCAGGAACCUUCAGAGGGAGCACGACACUGUCGACACCUUGACUUUAGACUUCUGGGCUCCAGAUCAGCAAGGGAGUAGAUUUCUGCUCCUUUAAGCAUUUUAUGGGUCUCUGCUGCAGGAGCUCAAGGAAACUCAUUCAGGUAUUUAGGACGGUUGUGCUGGGUGGAGACGGACCACACACCGUCUCUGGGCUGAAGGGGCGGGCACCAGGAGCAGGUCCUCAGUCGACCGCAUCUUGGCACUUAGCUUUGGUGACUCCCCCUGGUGCUGCUGAUGUCCUACCGUGGCCUCUAGGGGACUCAGGGUCCUGCACCCCACCCCUGCUCCCUUCCUGCCCUGGCCUCGUCUCACCUCUGCAGUAGCAAGACUUUCUGCAGCCUGAAUCUAGAUUCUCUGCCGCCUCUUGGUUCUUCUCCUUCAAUGUGGGCUCACCAAGGGCCAUGAGGGUCCCCAGGACUGCAAGGGCACACAGAAAACCCACAGAUUCAUACACUGAGAUAUCGCUCUCCUCGUCGACAGGACCUCAAGCCUCCAGGCCCAGCUCAGUCUAAUUCAAUCUCUGUGUCUUUGCUCAAACUCUUGCAAGGAAAUCUGACCACCUUGGCCUGGCUGGGGGCAUCCAGCGCUAUCCCUGGGGUGUGGCCUGAAACCCUUCCUUCCUCGGUAGGACUCAGUCAACCAGGGUUAAGAAAAGGGCACAUUCCUUGGAGAAGCAUGAGGAGAUAAUGCUUCUGAGGACGCUCAUGUAUGUGAACGCUCAAUGCAGACAUAUGGAAAUUAUGUCGUCUACAUUUACCCCCAUCCCUCUAGGGUGGGUGUCAUCAGAUUCCCGUCCCAGUUUGCAGCUGGAGCCUCGGGGCUUGGAUUAAGUGCUUGCCAGUGCUGGUAGAGAAGCCUGUCACCUCCCACCACUCUCAGCACUUGUCCACUUGCCAAGGUCUCAUGGCAAGUAAGUCCUGGCCACCUUGGUCGCCUCUUAGACGAAGUGGCUUGGACUAGAUGCCCUCCUCCGAGGUGAAUCUUGAGCUGAAGCUUCGGUGUGUGCCUGGAGCAUGUGGCUGGGGUGUUCAGCAAACCCUGGGCAGGGAGGACAGGCCAGCCAGACCUCGGGCCCCCAACUGGGCAUCUGCCUCCAUAGGGCAUUCAUCCACUUUGGGGGUCUUUGUGUCCCUAAAAGAGUCUGAAUAUGAAUCCACACUCAAGCAAAACCAUUAAGGAGAUCAAAGCAGCCGCAAUGACACUGGAGGAGGCUCAUGCUCCUGGGAAACCUCAGAGUAAGACGCAUGGGGGAGGUGCUGGCUUAAGGGUCAUGACUGAGGUGAGAGGCUGAGGGCAAUGGACAGAAAGCAGCAUGCAACCAAGUUCAGGUGGCAGGGAAAACAGAGAGCAAGGAGGAAGCAAAACUGUGAGCAAAACAGGCCUUGAGGGGCCAAACAGUCAGCCACAGAUGCCAGGCUCCUGCCCGACCUGCCCCGACCCUGCCUCUCAGAGGGCACCUGCCAUCCUCUGUGCACCCCACCUGUCCUGUCCCAUCUGUGCAGGGCCCCGUCUAUCGCCCCUGAAGGGUCAGGUGCUCCUCACUGGAAGGUAGGAACUGGGCUUCACCAUCUGGACUGUGCAAGGCCUGCCUGGUCAUGAGAGCAAAGAGUUUUCUAGAAGGCUGGCUUGCACACAUAAGUGAAGAACUGCCCCCCAGAAGUAAUGCUUAGGCAAAGAAGGUGGGCAGUGGUGGUGGUCACAGAUGCUGGGGGUGAGCCAUAGGCCUGAGCCAUCCAUUGUGGGGGUCUGAAAGCCCAAGUCUGUGGCUCCCACACACAGAGAUAGACAGUUCCUAGAGAACACCAGAGUCUAGGCCCCAGGGGCUGGGCGUGCCUCAGAGGGCGCCCCAUGCCAGCUUAAAGGCAGCUGGGAAUGCAGCAAUUGAUCAGUGGGUGCUGGGCAGCUCACACCCCCGUGCGGACAGUCUUCUCCAUGGGCCGAGAAGUGUGUCACAUGCAUGCAGGUGCAUAUGCAUGGGGACAUGGGGGCCCAGGAGUCUUCCUACUGCAGAGUUCAAAGAUGCGGGCUGAAGGCAGUUUGGAGAGCGUCCCCUGCCUGUGCUUCUCUUUUAACUCCAGGACCUGAGCCUCUGCUGGGUGGCGGGUGGACGCUGCUCCCAGUCUCCCAUGCAAGGGGCCCCAGAGGGAGGAAAAUGGCAGGAUGGGACAGAGGGACCACGUGAGAGCAGCUUUGGGAUAAAGCUGCCAGAUACACAAAGCAAUAAACAAAAGGGAAAAAGGAAACGGGACUCAACACAAUUCACAAGUCACAAGGUGGUUGGCUCCAAGGAGCAGGUCCCUGGCUCAGCGGGUCCACUGGGGCUCUCUGGGCAGAGGGGCCUGGUGUUUGAGGUCCCCUCCAGAACCUUCACGCUGAGUGGCAAUGACAUUCCAUAGCCUUGAGGGGCAGGGGCGCAAGGCUCAGCACCCUGGGGCUCUGGGGUGGAGGAGGAGGAUGAUCCGGACUGGGGAGGCAGAAAUGGCCCUCCGUUCUUUUCUGUUUCUUCUCACGCCUCCAGCCCCUUGCUGCAGCCACACUGGCCUCAGUUACACUGGCUCCUUCCUGCUCCUCAUCUGUACAGGGCCAGGUCCUGAAUUAGGGGGGCCUUUGUACAUACAGGCACCAGAACAUUCUUCCAGAGCUUCACUGGAGCCUUCCUCUUCAGCAUGACCGUCCCUGGCCACCUGAUCCAGAGCUGGCGGCUCCCAGGCAUAGCCCAUCCCUGCUGCGGCUCUGCACUGCCCCAGUCCUCACCUGCAUGCAGGGGACUAUUCACAUGCUGACCGUCUGUCCAUCUCCCGUAAGAACGUCGGCUCCUUCCACGUCUGCUGGGCGUGGAGGAUCCCUCACAGCCUCCCCGACCUCAGAGCCAUGAGAGACUUGCAAAGCUUGAAACAAACUCUGAAAGGACUCUUCACAGAUAAAUUCCUCCAGGUGCAUGUUUCAAACAAUUUUAUUAUCUAACCCAAGAGUAAGUUAGCAAUCGAUUUCCUAAUCUUUAUUGAUUGGCAGUGGGCAGGCUAGUGUGAUUAAAGAUGUGAGAGAGACUUGCCAAAUAAAAUGCAUGAGCAGCCUUCAUGAGCUUAGCUCCAAUGUGCAGAGUGAUAGGGUCAGGGAAGUGUGUGUAUGUGUGCAUGAUUGUGUGAGAUCAGGGUAGUGUGUGUGUGUGUGUGUGUGUGUGACAUCAGGGCAGUGGGUGUGUGAGAGAGAUCAGGGCAGUGUGUAUGUGUAUGUGUGAGAUCAGGGCAGUGUGCGUGUGUGUGUGUGUGUGACAUCAGGGCAGUGUGUCUGUGUGCAUGAGUGUGUGAGAUCAGGGCAGUGUGUGUGCAUGAGUGUGAUAUCAGGGCAGUAUGUGUGUGUCUGUGUGUGUGUGUAUGAUAUCAGGGCAGUGUGUGUGUGUCUGUGUGUGAGGUUAGGGCAGUGUGUGUUUGUGUGCAUGAGUGUGUGAGAUCAGGACAGUAUGUGAGAGAGAGAGAUCAGGGCAAAGGGCAGUGUUUGUGUGAGAUUAGGGCAGAGUGUGUGUGUGUGUGUAUGAGAUCAGGGCAGUGUGUGUGUGUGUGCAUGAGUGUGUGAGAUCAGGGUAGUGUGUGUGUGUGACAUCAGGGCAGUGUUUGUGUGUUUGUGUGAGAUCAGGGCAGUGUGUGUGUGUGCACGAGUGUGUGAGAUCACGGAAGUGUGUGUGUCAGGUCACCACAGUGUAUGUGCGGGUAUGCGUGUGUGUGUGCACAGGGAACACACGGACAGCCAUUCCAAGUACACACUCUCCUUGGGUAAAUCUGUGAGUAAUCAUUGCUCCAGCAGUGAGAGCCCGUGAGGGUGGUGCAGGAAGACUGUGGCCUGCCUCCUGAGGGAAGCAUUAAAAAAACAGUCAAAGGAAAACGAACUCAGCUCUCCCAGGGUGGAGGACGUGGAGGUGGGCAGCCAGGGAACAAAUCUGGUUGCUGCGAGCCUGUCAGAAAGGGCCCUAGUGCCCUGCCAGGAGGAAGGACUCUGGGCCAUGAGCAUGAUGGUCUUUGAAGGCCAGGAGAGCUAGCCUACCCCAGCUCUGCCACUAACUGUGCGACUCACGGUCACAUGAUGAUACCUCCUGGGCCCCAUAUACUUUAUCUGCAAAUGGGAAGAAGCACAGCCUCUGUGUCCACAGUGCUGUUGAGGUUGGAUCGGGGCUAACUGGCAAUCAGACAUGUGUCUAUAAAUGCCGGCGAGCCAGGCAGAGCCCAGGCCUGAGAGUCCACCAGGGUGGCAGGCCUUAAUCCGCGCUGCACAGAUCUGU